GUGUCAGCCGCCGCGGUAAUACGGGGGGUGCAAGCGUUAAUCGGAUUUACUGGGCGUAAAGAGCACGUAGGCGGUUGAUUAAGUUGGAUGUGAAAGCCCAGGGCUUAACCCUGGAACUGCAUUCAAAACUGCUCAACUCGAGUAAGGGAGAGGAGAGUGGAAUUUCCAGUGUAGCGGUGAAAUGCAUAGAUAUUGGAAGGAACACCAGUGGCGAAGGCGACUCUCUGGCCUAUUACUGACGCUGAGGUGCGAAAGCGUGGGGAGCAAACAGGAUUAGAAACCCCGGUAGUCC
RNAcentral lists this ribosomal RNA (292 nucleotides) under uncultured bacterium. RNAcentral describes it as "partial 16S ribosomal RNA". It matches the Rfam family "Bacterial small subunit ribosomal RNA", at positions 505 to 796 of the family's 1533-position model. The record is from RNAcentral.